Mus musculus (house mouse) is the source of this 919-nucleotide long non-coding RNA. RefSeq annotates it as predicted gene, 53337. The transcript is spliced from 4 exons. Lineage: Eukaryota; Metazoa; Chordata; Mammalia; Rodentia; Muridae. The record is from RefSeq and is a predicted model, not a curated record.
CCUCCCCUCCCUUCUGCCUUUAUUUCCUUUUCUUCUACAAUGUUAAGAAGCAGUAACAAGGAGUCAGGAUUGGGGUCACAUACCCCAGAGCCCUCUUCACCUUCGUUCUUCCCGAAUUCUUGAAAGACUAGAGACAAACCACUAUUUUAACUCCUAGGUCUACAUCUUGUUUCUUACAGUUUUAGAACGAAUCUCCAAGCCGAAGCUCUUCACAUAUUAAAUGAGCAUGAAUUCUACUUAUAUCGUCACAGAAACGAAAAAUUGAAAACUGCAGGGAAUUUGUGGGCAGCAGGCCAUGGUUUCUCACUUUGAGGCUUGCUCAUCAUUGUGACAGCACCAUGCAAGACACCUGGUUAGAAAGAUUACAGCUGGUCUUUGCACCUGAUCUGUGAAGUCGCCAUAGAGUGGAGGCCCUGAGUGAUGCUCACAUGGAAGAGGCAGGCUGUGGAGGAGUGUCUCCUUUCUGCAUGCAAACUACUGACUGCACUGCCAUUCUGUUUCAGAAAUUAUAAAACAAGGGUGUAUUAUGCCGGAAAACUUGCCACGAAACUCCUGUGAAACAGCUAGAAGAAAAGGGAGUAUGCCUCAACUCAUAGGCUGAAACGAGGACUUCCUGAACAGGAAUCUGGGUGCACAACAACUGAUGCAUUGGGGCUCACACAGUUAAACACUUCUGGAAAGCAAAGGAAACUGACAACUAAGUGAGCAGGCAGCUCACAAAUUGAAAGAAAAUCUUUGCCAGCCAUAUCAGUAACAGAUUAGUGUCUUGAGUAUACAAAGCACUAAAUAUCGGUAGAACAAACAAGCCAAUUAAAAACAGACUAAAGAACUAAACAAAGAGUUCUCUAGUCUGAGAACAAGAAAUAUAAAUGACUAGUGCACUUUAAAAUGUGCUCAACAUCAGGUUAUAUUUAGGAAU